UUGAUUGUGUGCUAACAUGUAUAAUACCUUAUACAGUUGGCAUAUUCUUAUAAUUUUCUUAGACGUUCUAAUCUUAUCAGAGCAAAAGGACGGAUAGAAAACAUUAUGUUCUGUUUUCUGGUUUCCAGCAGUUUGUACUAUGGUUGCUUGCCUAUCUAUUUUUCUGAAUCACUCUUUACCAUUUACUCCUGUUGUUCUGUU
RNAcentral lists this long non-coding RNA (201 nucleotides) under Solanum tuberosum (potato). RNAcentral's name for it is "long non-coding RNA (STUB_LNC001184)". The record is from RNAcentral. Lineage: Eukaryota; Viridiplantae; Streptophyta; Magnoliopsida; Solanales; Solanaceae.